GUCAGUUGCUUGAGUGAGGGUGUUCUUUUUGGUGGAGAUUACGUGUCUGUCGGCAAAGACUUAUUUUGUUUGUUUGUUAAUAUAAUCGUGGUUUGCGGUUGGAGUUGUGUACAGCAGGCAACGUUAGAAAUUACCAGGAGGAUAGUGCUAGCUGACCGGGAGGAGCCAACCGCGGUUAAACUAAUUCAUCUUGCCGCCCCUCCGAAAUUCGUUGAAGAAAUUAAUUCAAACUCGUAGUCCGGUGUUGGACCCACCAGAGACACUGGAUCUAAGGCGGGGAGACGGAUCCCUCAUCGUGCUACUGUGUGCCAUGUGGUCGGCUGUAACCAACCUCGCCAUAGGAUGUUCCCUAUCUACUCAUUGGAGGUAGUGGCAGGACACCCGCUCCACCUGUCACAGGCUCCGUGACUGAGAGAAACCAUUUCUGCAAAUCUGUUUGAGUGAGCUGGAUGAAAGUCUGCUGACAAUACAGCCUCCCCCUCAGGGCCUGAUUUUGGCUGGCCUGGCAGACCUGAGUCGACCUGCUGACAAGCUGAGUACCAUCCAGUCUGCAGUACUGACUGCCACAGGUACAGCACUGGAGUGGGGUGCUGCAAUUUUGGUACAUUGUGUACGGGGAAAACGAGGUGAGAUUUGGCAGAAGUGCAGCACUCCUUGGCUAUGUGACCAACCUGUGAUAGCUUACCAUGGUGGUGAAUGGUGCAGGAAUUGUUGAUAUGAGUUUUUAUAUCAGCCCAUCUCUCACCCAGGCUUCAUGUGGGCCAGAUACUCUCUGAUAAUUGUCCUAAAGAACUGCAACCUUUUUACAGUAACAUUUGUUGGUGCUUCUGACAGUUUCCAGCUGUUCAGAAUCUGGAGGUGAGUAGGCCUCUGCUGCUGAAGCAGAAGGAACCGGAGGCAGCAGCGCAGUACUGAGCUCCAACCUUUCCAUCUGGUCCCAUAGACUAAAAGGAUAUCUGACCACUUGACUCCACUCCCCUCCAACCCUGUCCAAAUCUUUAACCGGAAAAUAUUUAUUUCAUUGCUUAAACAUUGGUCCUUAGUACACCCCUCUCCAUGUGCAGACUCCAGGCACACAAAGUACUGCCAGCACCAAGACCAGGAUGGGCUGCAUGGGAGCCAGAGCAAAGCUGAACAGGGAGACCAUUAAAGAUGCCCAGGGAACAGAACAGACUGGACUUGGCCCAAUUGUAGUUCCUUAGAGGCAGUUCCAGAACCUCAGACUAGGGCUGUGUCUGAAUUUUGGAGCUGCAAACUUUGAAGGACACGGUCUAUGAAUGAGUAGCCUUGAGUCAUGAAGCGUUUCUCCUAUUGCCUAGCCUGGACACACCUACUUUACCUCUGUGCAAUGAGUCUUGGGAUAUGGUGGACUGUGAAGUAUCCAUCAGGUGGAUCCUUCGCGACUUGACAAAAGGAAGACCUGUUUCUACACUGCAUUUGAAGGAAGCGUCGAAAUAGGACUGCUUUGUCACACCACUGUGACACACACGGACUUCAAAUGCAGUCUUCAAAGGAUGCACUCCCUGAAUUUGGACACAGCCUAGGCACUUACCAUUCGACCAUGAACUACUGGGGAGGCACUUACAGCGAUAACUUGCCAACAUCAGCUGUUUUUCUUAUUAAAAGUUUCAUCGCACUGAUAAAUUUCACCUUUCCUCCCAUUAUUGACAAAAGUUGCAGAGGCUGUAGCAAACUAGAAAGAUUAUGAAGAAACCCAAACUUUAAUCACACAAAAUAGUCCAAUUCCACCAUUCAUCCUUUUAUUGAAAAGGUGUAGAACCUACAGCAAACUAGGAAAAUUCUGAAGAAACUGAUCAUAAUGUAACCAAUCCAAAACUAAUCACUGCUCCAUGAUAGUAUUAGGCUUAGGUGCAUUAAUGGUUGCUGUCACCUUCUCAUCUGUAGGGUGCAGACCCUUUUUGUCAAUCUGAUGGUUUAAGUAUGCAAUGGUGCUUUCCAAAAAUUCGCAUUUCGAAAGUUUUACUGCAAUGCCGUACCUUUCCAGGCAAGUGAGGACUUCAUCUAGUUUUUGUACAUGUUCUUGCUUUGUGCUGGCAGUGAUCAGGAUAUCGUCAAAAAAAUAACAUGUGAUGUGAUCCAGUCCCUGAAGUAUCUGGUGCGUCUGCUGCACUAGCUCCAGUUUGCCCUGGCUGCAGUGGCAUCACCGCCUUCUGCCCACUGUGGGGUGCCCGCCCCUCGCUGGGCCUCGCCGCCUUCUCUGCCAUCACCUCCUCUUCCCGGCCACUGACUGAAAAGACGGCACAAUUAGGGCCAUGAGCCCCACAGCAUCAACUUCUCGAACUUCUCUGAAAAAACAGGACAGGACUUUCAGUAUAUUUACAGACAAAUAUUUUACUUAAGUAGAAAGGCCACUUUUACUAGAGCACAUUUCCCUGUUUACUUCUGCUUCUACUGCAUCAUUACCAGAAUUUUUUUAAUAUAUAAGGGUUAAAAACAUCAACUGUUAUUGAUUUAUGCAACCACAUUUGACUGCCACAUAAAAAUAGUUUUUGUGGUAAAUAAGAUGACAGGGUUGCAAUCUUUGGUCAGCUGGCUGGUGUGAGAUUGUCAAUUUGAGACAAGUCUGCACUCACAUUUACAUGUAUGUAACAGAUUUAUUACAGUACCAUGUAAAUGGUCUGUAGGGUUUGAUGUAGCUAAUUUUUGGUUUGUAAUGGAAUAAUAUAGAUUAGCUGUAGGACUUCUUGCUUGAGCAUGAGGGUCUGACUGCGUGUAAUGCCAGGCGCAUAAGAAUUGGCAAUCUUGAGAUAACUGUCCUACACAGCUAUUUAAUGCUGGUUUGGAGAGUGCAUAAAAUCAGAACAGAGUGCAUAAAAUCUUGCAGCCCAUGUACUAAAGACAAACUGGCAUUUAGAGUUUGCACUUACACUCUGGGCUCCUUGUGUAGUCCGAAUUAUAGGGUUCCUGGGUCUGGACAGCCCUCCUGCUGCAGUGUGCAGGGGAUGGGUAAAUUAAUGUAAUUUACUGGGGCACCAUCCAGCCCAGCCCAGCCCCUUCUAGGAAUCAUAAAACAGCAUAUUAUACCUCCUCACAGCUGUCUUGUACUCCAUACGUUCCCAGAGCUGAUCCUUCUGCUUUCGGAAGCCCUCUCCCGAACCUGAUGCCGGUUCUCCCUGACUAUUAGUCCUCGAAUCUCCAAUUUAUUAUUUGUAUGCCCUCAGUUGCGGAGGAUUGCGAACACCUGUCAGGUUCGCUCUUGUGUGGGGGGGUGUUACGUGCCGUAAGGUUAGGGGAGGGAUUGUCCUGCAGAUCCUGAUCGUUGCCCAGCUCCCUUCGACUCCGCCUCCCGGACCUGGCCACGCCCCAACCUUCGAGUGUUGAAAAAGCCGUGGCGGGAAAUUAGCGGGAGCUCUGCUCACUGUUGGUUGUUAUUGGAUCGCUUGUGUGUUGAUUAAUUGUGUAUGACAGAUUUCUGGUUUCCUGGUUUUGACUCUCGCUUUGCCCCUUCGGUACCUUUGCCUUUGGUUUUGAUUGUUUACUGGUUUUGAUCUCUUGCCUUCCUCCUGACUACUCUCUUUGCCUCGCCCUUUUGGUUACUGUGUUUCGGCUUUGGUGUGUUCUGUAUGUUCGUUUCUGUUAAGUGCGUAGGGAGUGACUGCUAUUUUGUUUUGCGUACGUGUGGCUUAUUCUGUGUUUUGGUUAGGGAGUUAGGCUUAGUCUGUGUCAUUUCUUUUUCUCAUCUUUUCGUUUUGUUUAGAAUUAGUUUAGUUGGGGACGUGUUCGGUAGUGCUGUUUUGUUUAUUGUUUUGGCUGUGUCACUCCCGAAGUCUGUGGCCCUAUUUUUUUGUGAAAGUCUUUGCGAAUAAACAUAUAAAAAUACAAAAAAAGAU
Brienomyrus brachyistius is the source of this 3851-nucleotide long non-coding RNA. RefSeq lists it as uncharacterized. The record is from RefSeq and is a predicted model, not a curated record. NCBI's taxonomy places the organism in Eukaryota, Metazoa, Chordata, Actinopteri, Osteoglossiformes, Mormyridae. The transcript has 2 exons.